This 253-nucleotide ribosomal RNA is filed under the name uncultured bacterium. Its description in RNAcentral is "partial 16S ribosomal RNA". It matches the Rfam family "Bacterial small subunit ribosomal RNA", at positions 524 to 776 of the family's 1533-position model. The record is from RNAcentral.
UACAGAGACCCCGAGCCUUAUCCGGAUUAAUUGGGCGUAAAGCGUUCGUAGGCGGUUUUGUAAGUCAUCUGUUAAAUCUUCAGGCUCAACCUGGAGGCUGCGGGUGAUACUGCAAGACUCGAGUGUGGGAGAGGCAAGUGGAAUGCCCGGUGUAGCGGUUAAAUGCGUUAAUAUCGGGUAGAACACCAAAGGCGAAAGCAACUUGCUGGAACACAACUGACGCUCAUGAACGAAAGCGUGGGGAGCGAAAGGG